CACGAAACUGACAGUUACUAGCAGUCUCCACACUACCAGUAAGUUGACUCACUGUACAUGACCUCUCUCCUUCAUUUCACUUUACUGCAGGGUGGGAGAUGCAACAAUGGCCUUGAGAACAGCAGGAAGUGUGUUGGUGGUCUUUCUCUGGUCUGUAGCAGUGGUACUGGGUCAGGAUGGCUGGAGUGUGACUUACACCACUCAGAGUAUCUGUACCUUGAAGGGGUCAACAGUGGAACUGUCCUGCUCUUAUACAUAUCCCAGUUGGUGUAAUGUCAUAAAAACCUUCUG
Coregonus clupeaformis (lake whitefish) is the source of this 291-nucleotide long non-coding RNA. RefSeq lists it as uncharacterized. The record is from RefSeq and is a predicted model, not a curated record. Lineage: Eukaryota; Metazoa; Chordata; Actinopteri; Salmoniformes; Salmonidae. The transcript is spliced from 3 exons.